UAAAGAGUGGCUGAGUUUAAGGUGUUAGAUUGUAAAUCUAUUUACGAAGUAUUUCUUCCUCUUUAA
This 66-nucleotide transfer RNA is filed under the name Vulcanolepas fijiensis. Its description in RNAcentral is "tRNA-Tyr". It matches the Rfam family "tRNA". Rfam says of the family: Transfer RNA (tRNA) molecules are approximately 80 nucleotides in length. The record is from RNAcentral. Lineage: Eukaryota; Metazoa; Arthropoda; Thecostraca; Neolepadidae.